AGCGAACGCUGGCGGCAGGCUUAACACAUGCAAGUCGAACGGAUCCUUCGGGAUUAGUGGCGGACGGGUGAGUAACACGUGGGAACGUGCCUUUUGGUUCGGAACAACACAGGGAAACUUGUGCUAAUACCGGAUGUGCCCUUCGGGGAAAGGAUUUAUCGCCAUUAGAGCGGCCCGCGUCUGAUUAGCUUGUUGGUGAGGUAAAGGCUCACCAAGGCUACGAUCAGUAGCUGGUCUGAGAGGAUGAUCAGCCACACUGGGACUGAGACACGGCCCAGACUCCUACGGGAGGCAGCAGUGGGGAAUCUUGCGCAAUGGGGGAAACCCGUGACGCAGCCAUGCCGCGUGAAUGAUGAAGGUCUUAGGAUUGU
RNAcentral lists this ribosomal RNA (371 nucleotides) under uncultured bacterium. RNAcentral describes it as "bacterial SSU rRNA". It matches the Rfam family "Bacterial small subunit ribosomal RNA", at positions 29 to 426 of the family's 1533-position model. The record is from RNAcentral.